This is a long non-coding RNA of Gadus macrocephalus (Pacific cod), 810 nucleotides long. RefSeq lists it as uncharacterized. The transcript is spliced from 4 exons. Lineage: Eukaryota; Metazoa; Chordata; Actinopteri; Gadiformes; Gadidae. The record is from RefSeq and is a predicted model, not a curated record.
CCGCAGUGGCGGAGCCAGGGGGUGGCCGGGGGUGGCCACGGCCACCCCCCGUAGAAUCUCGGCCACGCCAUUGGCCACCCCAAGCACCGGAUCACAGCGGUCAAAAGUUUUGACGGCUGUGGAAAAAUGCGGAACCUUUCUCGCACCGCUUGUACACUGACGGACCCUUUAGCCGCGCGCAGCGCGCACACGUCCUGUAUUUGAAUUAAACGGCUCAAGCAUGCCCUGAAUGCCUGUUACCACCUGACGCUUCGACCGGCACCUGCGGCUAAGUGAAGAAACCCAAAACAGAAAGAUUGAUCGAGAGCAGGACAGAAGUGUCCUCCCUGAGGAGUGGCCCCAGUGGAUCCCCAGAUUCCCACAGAAGAUUCAGACAGCGAGAGAGAGGAGCCUCCAACAACGAGUGGCGGCCCAAGGUACCUCCAGACAUUUCCAAAUCAAGAACCGAUAGAUCUUUAAGGACAGUCAUUGAAGUGUUCAGUUUUAAUGAUAUGUCACUGUUUGGAUUCUCUGUCUGAUAUGUGUAAAUGUGGCUCAAACUUGAAACUAAUCUUGCAGAGUCCGCCUAAUACCCAUUGUGAAUAUGAUGUUUGUUAUUAUGUGUUUGAUAGAUGUUUAUGGAUCGAAUUGAAGAAAAAUUGACACUGCUUAUUUAAACAGGCUGUUAAUGCUUGUCAUAUUUACAUUUGUUGGAAUUCAGCUAAUUGUAUUCAGGAUGUUAUUUUAUUUAUUUUCAUAUUUCUAUGCAUUAGCUCAGUAUUUUAUACUUUUUGUUAUUUAAAGAUAAAUCCGUAUUGUGAUCAGACUUGA